This 161-nucleotide unclassified non-coding RNA is filed under the name uncultured Myrothecium. RNAcentral describes it as "sequence contains ITS1". The record is from RNAcentral. Lineage: Eukaryota; Fungi; Ascomycota; Sordariomycetes; Hypocreales.
CCGAGUGAAAACUCCCAAACCCCAUGUGAACCUUACCUAUCGUUGCUCCGGCGGAGUCGCCCCGGCGCCCUCGGGCCCGGAUCCAGGCGCCCGCCGGAGACCCCAAACCCUCAUGUUUUUAGUGGUUUUCUCCUCUGAGUGACACAUAAACAAAUAAAUAA